RNAcentral lists this small RNA (524 nucleotides) under Pan troglodytes (chimpanzee). RNAcentral's name for it is "retained intron". Lineage: Eukaryota; Metazoa; Chordata; Mammalia; Primates; Hominidae. The record is from RNAcentral.
AGAUUUUGUACCUCGGGGACCUGCUGGAGACCUGCCAUUUCCAGGCCUUCUGGCAAGCCCUGGAUGAAAACAUGGACCUCUUGGAAGGUAUAACUGGCUUUGAAGACUCUGUCCGAAAGUGUAAGUCCCUCUCUGAGGCUGGGCUCCCCAAGGGGAAGGGGUAGGGAGUGGCAGCCAGGUCCGGGGGGACAGCUGCUCACCGGUUUUGUCUCUGACCUCCACAGUUAUCUGCCAUGUUGUGGGUAUCACUUACCAGCACAUUGACCGCUGGCUGCUGGCCGAGAUGCUCGGGGAUCUGUCGGGUAACGCCCUCUGGGUCCUGGUGCACAUCUGGGAGGUUGGGGGUGGCUAGGGCAGUGGACCUCAGUCAGCUCCUCCAACGGGCCUGUCUGGGUCUCAUCAGGUCAGCAUGGAAGGCCCAGCCCAAGGAGGAAAUAAGAACUUGGUAUAAGACAGUCUCUGCCUUGAGGGAGAUCCUAUGCCAUUUGCUCAUUUAUUUUGCAUUAAUUGAGUGCCUACCGUGU